Molecule: ribosomal RNA, 502 nt
Filed under: uncultured bacterium
Lineage: Bacteria
Description: partial 16S ribosomal RNA
Rfam family: Bacterial small subunit ribosomal RNA
Source: RNAcentral
AUUGAACGCUGGCGGCAGGCUUAACACAUGCAAGUCGAGCGGAGUGAUGGUGCUUGCACUAUCACUUAGCGGCGGACGGGUGAGUAAUGCUUAGGAAUCUGCCUAUUAGUGGGGGACAACAUCUCGAAAGGGAUGCUAAUACCGCAUACGUCCUACGGGAGAAAGCAGGGGAUCACUUGUGACCUUGCGCUAAUAGAUGAGCCUAAGUCGGAUUAGCUAGUUGGUGGGGUAAAGGCCUACCAAGGCGACGAUCUGUAGCGGGUCUGAGAGGAUGAUCCGCCACACUGGGACUGAGACACGGCCCAGACUCCUACGCGGGGCAGCAGUGGGGAAUAUUGGACAAUGGGGGAACCCUGAUCCAGCCAUGCCGCGUGUGUGAAGAAGGCCUUAUGGUUGUAAAGCACUUUAAGCGAGGAGGAGGCUCUUUUGGUUAAUACCCAAGAUGAGUGGACGUUACUCGCAGAAUAAGCACCGGCUAACUCUGUGCCAGCCGCCGCAGUAA